RNAcentral lists this non-coding RNA (75 nucleotides) under Amantichitinum ursilacus. RNAcentral's name for it is "Fluoride sequence". It matches the Rfam family "Fluoride riboswitch aptamer (crcB RNA motif)". Lineage: Bacteria; Pseudomonadati; Pseudomonadota; Betaproteobacteria; Neisseriales; Chitinibacteraceae. The record is from Rfam by way of RNAcentral.
CGCCCUGCAGGAGAUGGCAUUCCUCCCAGAACCGCCGCGCCGCCCUCCGGUGCAGCUGAUGAUGCCUACGUAACC